UUUUUUUUUUCCAGGUUGUGUUUUUUUUUUCCUUCAUCCCAAAGAUGUUGAAAUAGACAGGUGCUAGGUUUCCCUGAACAACUAAAACAAGGAUGUGGUUAUUUUCCCCCCAGAAAAACAGAUGCAUCAGCAGAGCUCAGGCUCUGGAAAUUGUUUGCACAACUCCGCAUCCCAUCUACUAAUCCAAACUAAUGAGAUCUAUUAAAGACCAGCCCACAUGUUUGAAGGGAGUCACUUAUUAAUGUGACAUCUUUGCAUGCCAUUAUAAUACCAGGACCACCAUUUACUCAGGUUUUAGAAAACUCAAAGUCAUGGCUCGCCUGUUACCUCCCUGAGACUUCCUGCAGAAGCUUCUGGUAGCCUGGGUGCCUUUUCAGCCUUGGCACUGUUGACCUUCAGCGCCGAUCAUUCUUUGCUGUGGGCUUCUGUUCUGUGCCUGAUAGGAUGUGGAGCUGUAUUCAAGACCUCUGUCCAUUAGAUCCUAGUAGCAACCCCUCUCUCCAAGUAGGGGUAAUCCAGAAUGUCCUCAGAUAUUGCCAGACGCCCUCUGCGAGGAGGAGGGCAAAACAUGCAUUCUAGAGCCGCUUUUCCCAACUAUUGUGAGUGUACAGGAAAGGCAAAAUGAGAUUGUCUCAUUGUAUUUAAACCCUCACCCUCCGGUUUCUAGGACUCCCUGGCCUUGCA
Long non-coding RNA from Mustela erminea (ermine), 684 nucleotides. RefSeq lists it as uncharacterized. The record is from RefSeq and is a predicted model, not a curated record. Lineage: Eukaryota; Metazoa; Chordata; Mammalia; Carnivora; Mustelidae. The transcript has 4 exons.